Molecule: long non-coding RNA, 1676 nt
Filed under: Homo sapiens (human)
Lineage: Eukaryota; Metazoa; Chordata; Mammalia; Primates; Hominidae
Description: HSALNT0379121
Source: RNAcentral
AGAAUUGCUCUCUGGGCAGAGGGCUGCGGAGCAGGAGCGAGGCUGCAGGUGUGAGAAGGACCCCGCCGUGCCAGGGCAGCCUCAAGGAGCUGUUGAGCGAGUUGAGCCCAGAAGACAAAGGUCGCUGAAGUCCUUCCAGGAGAAGAAGAUCAAUGCCUGGGCUGAGCCUGCGGUUAACAUCUUAAUAGUAACCGGAGAGUUUCUGAGAGAUUAGGCUCACAUACCUCUCAGAGUCCAGGAGGCAGUGAGGGAAAGCUUUUAAUUCAAAGCCCUAUCCAUCUUCCCAACUCAGGCCCUUCUGCCCCCUUUGUCAGUGUGCCCUUGUGGGAAGCCGGUGCGUUUCCAGGGGAGCUGCUGGAGGCUUCUUAUGGCAUGCAGAUCAAGGAAGACCUGUAGACUACAUGCACCCUGGCGCUCUGGGUAUGUUGUUUCUGCAGGUUUGGGAGGCAGCUGUCCUCCAAAGCAUACAAUUACUAAGAACAGGGACCAUAGUUUCACACUUCAGUGCCUAAACAGGCCCUGACACCCAGUUUGGCUAGGUUGAGUCUGGGUGCCAGAGAUUAGAGCUGGGAUUGGAGAUGUAGCCCGUCCCCGUUCAGGAGCCUCUCACGUGUAUUGCCUCUCACGUGUAUUGUCUGUGAGUGUGCUGGGCUCCCAGACACAUAUGUCACAGUGAGCUGUGGGAAUGACCCUUGACUCCUAUCCUGAUGGGAGUGGGAGAGGGUGCAAGAACUGGCCCUGGAGACAGGGGAGGGGUUGUGAGAGCCAGAGCACAGAUGCCUGCACACCAGGCACUGGGGGCGGGGGUUGGGAUGGAGAGUGUGGUGAUGGUAAUGGCCUAUAGUCGUGGGGGCUUGGGGACUUCUGAGGGAUGUGGGUAAAUCUGGAGUUUUUCCUAUAGGAACGGGGAGCCAUGGAACGUGCGUGAAGCGGUGUGUAAAACUGGAGAGAAAAACCCUAAGGAGACCUCAUCGGACGUUCCUGUGAUAAUCUAGGCCUCAGGACAGGCAGACUGGGAUGCUUGUGUUACCCCUAACUUUAGAUUACUCUCCCACUGCUCCCCUCCUUCACUGUAGAUUCCCACAAUUUCAGUAUCAAUGUAAUUACAAUUUAGGGGCUUAGAAACUCCUGUAUUUAUUGAGAACCCACUUAAUUUACAUAUAUUGAGUUUCAAUAUUGCACAACUCUGUGUGGAGGGGUUAGGGUGGAGGAGACCUGAGAUGACAGAAGGCCAUGUUCUCUAGGGAUGGUCUGCAGCCCUCAGUGCUGUCUCUUUUCCCUCCAGCGCCCCCUCUGUGCCCCCCUCCAAUCCCUGCUCCCCCCAGUCUCUAUAGCUGAAGGCUAGGACGAACUGUGGGGUUGUGAAUAUUUACGCAGGCAGGCAUAGGACUCAGUGACGCAGCUGAGAGCCACGCAAGUGUUUGGUGACUCAUCAGACCUUCUCCAAAGACUUGUGAUAUUUUUCUCCUCUGAAGGGCCGAAAGCAAUUUGCAGUUAAUGAUAGUAUAUGACGCCAGAAGAGUACGCAGACCUUCCGGCUCAUCUUUUCUGUGCCUUGGGUGUUUUGUUUUUGAAAAAACCUAUGUGAAUUAUUUUCCCUUUAGUAAUGUUUAUUUUAUUCUGAUUAUUAAAAUAAUGUAUGCUCAUUGUAGAAAAUACAUAAAUGCAUUAAAUAG